ACUGGGUUGGCCGAGUGGUUAAGGCGUUGGACUUAAGUUCCAAUGGACAAGUGUCCGCGUGGGUUCGUACCCCACCACCCAGU
This is a non-coding RNA of Ciona savignyi (Pacific transparent sea squirt), 83 nucleotides long. Lineage: Eukaryota; Metazoa; Chordata; Ascidiacea; Phlebobranchia; Cionidae. The record is from Rfam.